Molecule: long non-coding RNA, 199 nt
Filed under: Cicer arietinum (chickpea)
Lineage: Eukaryota; Viridiplantae; Streptophyta; Magnoliopsida; Fabales; Fabaceae
Description: long non-coding RNA (CARI_LNC003039)
Source: RNAcentral
UGGAGAAAUCAAAGCUACAUAGUUCUUGAUUAAAAAAAACGGAUGUGUUGAGUGUGUUUUAAAGAAAAUUUGUUUUGUGAUAAAAAAUGUUUUGACAAAAUAGAAAAUAAAAGAAUUUGAUUUGAAUAGAUAUAUUAAAAUACGAGUUUUAAGACGAUCAAGUUGUACAACUCGUCUCCCAAAACUCAAGGAAUAAAGA